This 29809-nucleotide long non-coding RNA is filed under the name Spirodela polyrhiza (greater duckweed). RNAcentral describes it as "long non-coding RNA (SPOL_LNC000274)". Lineage: Eukaryota; Viridiplantae; Streptophyta; Magnoliopsida; Alismatales; Araceae. The record is from RNAcentral.
AGAGAGAGAGAGAGAGAGAGAGAGAGAGAGAGAGAGUANNNNNNNNNNNNNNNNNNNNNNNNNNNNNNNNNNNNNNNNNNNNNNNNNNNNNNNNNNNNNNNNNNNNNNNNNNNNNNNNNNNNNNNNNNNNNNNNNNNNNNNNNNNNNNNNNNNNNNNNNNNNNNNNNNNNNNNNNNNNNNNNNNNNNNNNNNNNNNNNNNNNNNNNNNNNNNNNNNNNNNNNNNNNNNNNNNNNNNNNNNNNNNNNNNNNNNNNNNNNNNNNNNNNNNNNNNNNNNNNNNNNNNNNNNNNNNNNNNNNNNNNNNNNNNNNNNNNNNNNNNNNNNNNNNNNNNNNNNNNNNNNNNNNNNNNNNNNNNNNNNNNNNNNNNNNNNNNNNNNNNNNNNNNNNNNNNNNNNNNNNNNNNNNNNNNNNNNNNNNNNNNNNNNNNNNNNNNNNNNNNNNNNNNNNNNNNNNNNNNNNNNNNNNNNNNNNNNNNNNNNNNNNNNNNNNNNNNNNNNNNNNNNNNNNNNNNNNNNNNNNNNNNNNNNNNNNNNNNNNNNNNNNNNNNNNNNNNNNNNNNNNNNNNNNNNNNNNNNNNNNNNNAGAGAGAGAGAGAGAGAUUUAAUUUUGUUUAUUUUGAAUCAUAAUCACUAGAUGGUGGAAAUUAAUCAUCUAAUGGAUAGGUUUUUGAUACAUUGAGUGAUUGAUGGCCAAAAUUAUGAUCGUGAUCGUGACCCUUUUUUCUAAUUGUGAUUGUCGACCAACUAAUCGUGAUUGUCGAUAUGAUGAUUGAGUGAUUGUGAUUAUUAUUGUAAGGAUUGGACAAUUAUGAUCGAUGUAUCUUUGUGAGAGGCAUGAUUCUCUAUGCUUUUUAUGUUUUAUCAUCAGUGAAAAUGAGGACUAGCAAAGCGGAUUGAGAGGCAUCAAUCACCCCCAACUUUCAUUGUCACUUCCACAAUGCACUGACAUUGUUAUUUUUCUGUCUUUGCCUUCCAUCAGAAGGUGCGAGGUAUAGGAAAGGGAGAAAAAUGGAAGACAACUUUAACACGGCUUGGAUUUUAGAGAUUCACAUCAUACUAGUAAGUAGAGAUUGAAUAAUGUCUUACAUAGAGUUCAUUAUCUUUUAUGUUAGUAAUUGAGAAUAAUUAUUUGUAAUGAACAAAAAUAUGAUUGUAAAACAUGAAUUUAGUGAAUUCCUAUAAGUCAAUAGGUGGGAGAGAUAAAAAAAUCUAAAACUAAAUUUAAAAUCUUGAGCUUCAAAUAAACUACUGAGAACAACAACAAAAAGGUGAUCACAUGGGAUUAACAAAAAUAAUGAAAAGGAUUUAAGAACAAGGAGUAAGAGGAAAUAUCAUGUUUGAGAUGAUCAAUCUUCUUUGUCAUUGUCUUUCAAAAUAUUCCUCCCCCUCUUUUUCUCAUUUCUCUUUAUUUUAUAAAUGCUUGAAUCAUUAUGUUUGUCAUUUGAAUCAAGUUAAACUUAUGCCUUUAAUAUAAAAAAAAGAGACCCAUGAGCCUUUAUAACAAGGAUGUGUGUUGUUGUUACCCUUGGUCCUUAUUUGACAUACCUUUGUAGUGGUGGCAUGGGCUAUGUCUUUGCGUGCAUGCACUAUCUUAUUAUAUGCGCUUGCCAUGCUAUUAUGUGCAUACGAUGUGGUGACAUGUACAAAUACAAUGUCGCAUUGCAUGCUUGUCAUGCGGCUAUGUGCACAUGUCAUGUCAUCUUGCACACCCAUCGGCACAACCACCUUGCGUGGGUGUCAAGCCAUCACAUAUAGGUGUUGAGCCAUCAUGUGCACAUGUUGUGCCAUCAUACACACAUGUCAUACCAUCCUGUGGGCCUAUCGUGUCAUCGUGCGACUAUAUGUUACUCAAGUCAUACCUUACAAGUUGGCCCGAGUAACAUUUUUCCCCACCUAAGAAAUCUAGUGAUCUGGCUAGGUGUUGACAAUUAUGUUAGUCUUAGAUCAGCUCUUUUAAUUAUUAUAAGUUGACAUCUUUUACCCAAGUGACCUCUUCACAGGGUAAACCCACCCAUUAGAUGAGAUAUAAGGUGUUACAAUAAGCCUGGUUAGGGCUACCCUUGUCAACCACCUGAUGCAUUAAAUAUCCUUCAUUUGAUCAUAAUAGUAAGUCUAAAUAAUUAGCUGGGGUUGAUGUGAAUAAUUUUGCUCUAGGUCAGUAUCAUCCAUAUAAUAGAUAUUGAGAAGGAAAAUCUGAAAGAUGAGAUUGACUAUGAGUUUUGGUAAGAGUAAAAGUCAAUAAGUCAGAUGUCACAAUUUGGAAUAGAUUGUUGUAUCGAUGUAUGAGGUUGUUGUGGCACUUCUAUUGUUAGAGGCUUUUGUGCAAUAAAGAUAUACAAAGGAUAACCUAACCACUGACGUUAUGCUUGAUCUCCUAAUGAUGACGAUAUAUGUUCUUUUUCAUGUGCCUAACUACAGAUGUUAAGGCUUCACGAGCUUUCUCUAAGAUGUCUGCCCGUUGUGCAUAGCAGUAAGCCACAAGUAGUGUGGACCCUAUUAUUUGACGCUUCUUGUGGUGUGAGAGAUUGGUGUCAUGUUUCCAACUCAAAUAGAGACUGCCCCAUUGAUGCACACUAUUUGAUGUUGUGGGCAAAUAAGGUGAGGUCUAAGAGAUCAAUCAAGUUGUCUUAGCAGGUGGUGACGUAGUAGUGUAGUUAAUCUAUCCAUAUGUCUAUAGAUGGAAGGUAAUGAAAAAAUUGAGUUUAACACUAAGUAGGGAGAAGAGAAGAUGAUUGAUUAGAAAUAUCCGAUGAAGUAAGAAUCUCAAUCAAACACUAUGUUUUGUGAAAUAUCCUAGAGUUUCAUGAUGUGUUAUAAAAAGAGGUCUACUAUCUCAUUAGACUUGUAGUUAGAACGAAUAAAUAUAAAAGUGACAUAUUUGAAGAAUUAGUUGAUGACUAAGAUAACGUCUGAAUUGUCAAUUUGAUGUAAGUUGGUGAUGAAGUUCAUGGACAGUAAUUUUUAGGAUCCCUUUAGUAUAUGAAGAGGUUCAAGUGUUCAUAUAGCACUCAUAUGUUUUACCUUGUCUUAUUUACAAAUCAGACAUGAGUGUACAUAGAUUUCCACAUCUGUUUCAUGUGUGACUAGUAAUAACUCUCCACAAUGAGUGUCAACAUGAGUUGCUACUUUAAGUGUCUUAUGGCGAUGCAUCGUGGGUCUCUCGGAUUAACUUUCAUUGUAAUUGACUUCUUAAGAAACAUAUGGAUAUUUCCCUUCUCAAUACAUGAUGUUCUCUUUCAUUUAAAAUCGGUUGGUGUCACUAGUCUCAAUUUACUAUAUUAGAUACUAUGUUGUAAGGUUGGUGGUAUAUGUUGCAUAGAUGAUGUCUAAUAGAUUGUCAGUAUUAAUUGAAAUUCUAGACCUCAAAAGUUGAGUUUUGAAACUCGUGCAUGAUUUUUGAAAUGAGUGUUGAAUUUUCUAUCAACAUAAUUUGCCCUCAAUGAAUAAUUAGAUUAUCUUUCAACUGAUAAUACAUCGAUCUUUAUAAAUGUUGAGAUACUCCCUAUUAUAUUUUUUCAUCUAUAAUCAUUUUUUUGGAAACCUAAUAUCUCAAAUAAUUGACCUUUGCUUGUCCAAAAUAAUAGUUACUCGUAUUUAUAUUGAGUUUGUUAGUUAACUACAAAAAGUAAUAUUUGUGCAAUGUCUUAUAUGAGUUAUAUGUAAGAAUGUCAUAAAAAAAUACCAACAUUAAUCAUAUGAGAAAAUUAUUGAAGAGAUGAUUCAAAGAGAUUGAAAAGUAGUAAGGAGCAUUUGUUAGUUUAAAAGAUGACUACAAUUAAAUAAUAACGUUUAUCUGUUCUAGAGGUAAUUUUAAGCACACUUUCUUUUCUCCCUAAAAUUUGGUAGUAUUAAGAUCUUAAGUUGAGUUUAGAAAAAAAUAGUUGCAUCAUUUAAUUCAUCAAAUAACUCUUCACUAAGAAGUACAAAAAAAAAUUGAGUAUUGUGAACUUAUUUAAUUUUUUAUAAGCAAUAUAUAAGCUCUUGUCCCUAUUUUUUUACCAACAAUGUGGGGCUCAAAAAAGGGCUAUGUGGAUAUUAGAUAAUCUUGAACUACAACAUCUCUUUAACUAGCUUUUAAAUUUAAAUUUUAUAAAAAUAUUAACAUAGGUAAGGUUUUCAAUUGAUGACUUGGAUAUUUUUGUUAAAGAUUAUUGGGUGAUUUGUUUAUUUAUUGGGCUGAAAGUUAGUUAGUCUUUAUAACAAUGUAGUAAGCUAUUCCCAACUUAAUUUUGAUGACCCUUCAGUAUUGAUCUCAAUGAAAUAUAGUUCUAGAUAUAGUACUAAAGGCAAGGAUAUAUUAUAAUCACUUAGAGAUUCCUCUGCAUAUAAAAUAAUAUAAUAUGAACUUUACUUUAGUGUCAAGUCUAGUGAUCAAAAUCAAUAGUGAUUUUCUUCUAUCCUUUAACCACUUUAACCCUAAAAUGAUGUUUCUCAAGGUGAGAGGUGGAAUCAAAAAAUCUUCACAAACAAUGAGGGAUGGAAAUUAUAUGAUAAAUCUUGAACAUCAUACAGACCCUAACCACUUACCACGUAUGUCAAUCAUUAUAAAAUAAUAUGAAAUAGGGUGCACAUCCAUUUGAAGAUUUUUCACAUCAUUUGGGCAACGAAAAUGUGUGUGGCACACAUGUCUACCAAUAUUGUGACUAUUUACUUCCUCACCUUGCCCUUAAAUUUGUAGCCUCUCUUCAUUUGACUAGAGGUCAUUUAGUCUAAUGACACUUUUAGAUUUAUAGGAGAUUUAUUUUUGUGAAGUUUAAAUUGUUCAUUCAAUCUAGGGCUAAGACAUUCAUCUUCCUCAAUGAUCAAUAUAUUUAUUUCCUUGCAACACUUAUGUCUUAGCUCAUACUUGUCAUUACAUAAAUAAUAAAAUCUUUGUGUAUGCCUUGUUUGAAUUUUUACUAUAGUUUAAUUUAGUUAUCUUCAUUCCGAUGGAACUUUUCCCAUGUAAAGAGUGUUGUCAUCAUUUUAAAUUCAUCUUGCUGUUGUUAUCUAUUGAGUUCUAUUAGUGUACUCAAAAUUCAUAACCAUGUUAUUUUUCUUCUUGAUUCAUUGUACUAUUUUUAUGACCUCAUUCAAUUCAAUAUGAUUGAAAAGAGUUACCUUCGCUUGUAUGUCUUCUUGAAACCCUUUUAAAAAUAUUGUUUCUAAAAUAUUUCUUGUCACAUCAUGUAUUGUGGAGACCAUAGAUUAGAAUUCCUCACAAUACUUUGAUAUAAUUCUAAUUUUUUUAAUUUCAAGAAAUUGUUGAUAGAUAAAUCCAACCCUUGGAACUCCAAAUUACUCUAAUAAUGAUUCCUUCAAUUUUGACUAGUUUUUAAAAGGUUCUUAGGUAAUACUUUUCUUGCUAGAUUUACACUAGCUGACCAUACUUUGUCUUCUUCUAAAAAUUGAAAGUAGAAAAAUAUAAUUCUAGCUUGUAUAUCCAUUCUUCAAGGUCUUUGCCUAAAAAUCUUAGUAAUUAUAAUCUUUUCCCCUCAAAUUGUAGAUCAUAUGUUGUUUGAUGAGACAUCUGAAUGGCACCACGAUUGGUGAUUGUCCACAAUCUAGAAUGGUUGGUUCACAUGCGUCCAUGUGUUGAUGAUGAUACUCAUCUUAAUCAGUAUUCCUUUGAUUUCUUUUGUAUGUUAGACAAUAAUAUCUAAGUGAUAUUGUAUCAUGAAAAUUUCUUUAUAGUUUCUCUUAAGUAUUAUCAAGUUUUGUUGUGAUUCUUAGUGCAUCUCUUAUAUUCCCUCUUUAGCAUCUCUAUUCAAAUAUCUUCAGAUUCUAAAGACAUUGUCUAGCUCUGAUAUCACAUUUGUUAGUCAUUGGAGAGAACCUUUUGUAUUGAACCUAAAUAUGAUUAUACAUCACAAAUUGGGUGAAUUCUUGCAAGUCAAUUAGUAGAGAACAAGAACAAAUCCAUAACAGAAUUAUAAAAUCUUGAGUUUUAAUUACACCGCUAAGAAUAACAAGAAAAAGGUGAUCACAAGGGAUUAACAAGAAUAAUAACAAGGGUUUAAAAAUAGGGUGCAAUGGGAAAUGACAUAUUUGAGAUGAUCAAUCUCCUCUUUUACUCUCUUCUAGAAUCCUCCUCCCCCUCUUAUUCUCCUCUCUCUUUCUUCUAUAUAUUUUUGAAUUGUUAUGUUUAUUAUUUGAAUUGAGGCAAACCUGGGCCUUUAUUAUUAAAAAGAACAUGGCCCGUGACCCUCUUAGCUUGCUAGAGUUAUUGAUAGGUUGUUAAAACUGUUAUAAUCAUAUAGAGUGUGGAGUUCUUUGACUCCUUUUACUCCUUGGUAGUCCAACUUUUGCUAGUAAACUAUCUUGAUACUUUCGGAAAAUCCCAAUUCUUUCCCUGCCUGCAAUCUUUCUUCUCUUCCUCCGUUGAAAUAGAUCUCGUCUAUGCAUAGUCUUGAUUCAGAGAUUUGCACCAUAUUAGUUAGAAGAGAUCAUGUGGCAUUUGAAAGUUAUUAGAGUUCAUUGCAUGUUAACUCUCAAUGAAUUAUGAUUCUUCCACUUCUUGUGAUCUUUCUUCACUUCAUCCAUUGGAAUCAACUUGGUUGAGAUAUUAGAGACAACCAACAUGAUAUGAAAUUCCGAAGAAUUGUUGUGCCUGCUGGCACAAUUGUGAGGAAGAAGCACCCUUUAAAACCUGAGGACGUUGGCCAAAAUCCGAUCAACUCAGAUUUUCACUUUUUGGGCCGUAUUGCGACGGAGGAAGCGGCCCACAAUGACCCUUUCCGGCCCUCCUUUUUACCAGCGUCCAAUUAGUGGGCCCGGCUGACCAUUCGCCGCGGCCCAUUUCCCGGCAGUCCACUGUAAGUCUUUCUUGACCCCCUUUUCUACAGCCGUCCAAUUGGUGGGCCCUCUAAACCUUUCACCAAGGCCCAUUCACGCGGUUCGCCUCCACCUCCCGCCUGCAAUGUGGGCCCUUUCUCCAUCCGACCGUUCGUCCGUUCCUAAUUUUCAGAUAAUUCUUUUAUUAUUCAUAACUCGAAAAAAAAGUCGCCAUUAGCCUUAAAUCCCGGUCAAGAAAUAUGUUGACUUUUGUGGAGUAGUAUUCCACUUAAUUAUUUACACGUUGAUGCCGAUAUAGGGAAAGAAUCACACCAAUUGUUGGCCGACAUGGCGGGUGCCGGGAAAACUUUGGGCCACGUGCCGAGGAGCCCGAUUUGGCCCCGUCUCCGGCAGCACGCCACGGCUCAAGGCGGCGGUGCGGGGUGUCGGAAUGGACAGGCGCGCGUGGAACUGGCAUCGCACGUGGAGGGACGGCAGCUGCCGCCGGUGAAAAAAAAAGUGGGGCCCGCCACUCUCCUUCCCGACCGUUGCCCUCCCCCCCCCCCCCCUGCGGAUAAGGUAGGGGCUCGGUGGGCUUCCGGGCCCGCUCGAGCACGGGCGUAAAGCAGCCGGCCUUCUUCAUCUUCAUGAAUACCUGCCCCGUCGAAAUGCCACUCCGUUCAUCCUCUCUCUCCUCUCUCUCUCUCAUGAUUACCGAAUCAUGUGACGUCACUCGUCUAUCAUCUCUCGUAUCUUCCACUUGCACGUAAUCAAGGGGAAUACGAGCUGGGUUUUACGUAGAUCCCGGAGAUUAGUCCACGUGUGGUCUAAUUCAGCCAAAAUAAGUGUUUUUUUUAAUGUUAAAAGCUGGGAAGUACCGGAGACGUUCAGGACACCGAAAAAUCUGUUCUUUGGAAUCGGUAGUGGAGGAAACAAGGGGCCGCGCCAAGAUCGUACGUAUCUCUCGGCGAUGUUGACUUGCCCGAGGGGGCAGUCGCCGUACGGGUGGCUGGCGGUCAGCGGAGGCCGCCUCAGGUCCAUCUUGUUUGCCCUUCCGGCCAGGGCAAUGGCGACGGGUCCUCGAGGGAGGCCCCGCGGUCAGUGUGAAAUCCCGGCGCGGGGCGAGCCCUUUGAUGGCGGCGGCGACGUCCGGGCAACGGCACGUCCCUUCACUUCACCUUGUCCGGGUGGUUUCUGGCCCGGCCACCCCUCCCCCAUCCUUCCGACAGCUCUCUCUCUGUCUCUGUUUCUCUCUCUAUCUCUCUCUACCCGGGUUUGGCGGUCCUGACGAGGACAGGUGCCGGCCCCUUGGUCUUCUUGGGGGCUUCCGGCGUCUGUUCUCGCUGAAAUGCUGCCUGCGUCGCCUGGGUCCGCUCAGAGCGGUCCUCACUCGGCCCUCAACUCCUGAAUUAACUCGCCGCCGCUUCGGCAUCUGGGGAGAUGCCGUGAUUGCUGGGCACUGACAGUUGGGCGCCGGAGGCGGGGCUCCGCUCUCGGCGGCAGUGCAGCGGCGGAACGGGCGGAGGAGUAAAUGGAAGUGGGGGAGAUCUCGGAGUUCCAAAUAAAGAAAUCAGGGGAAGCGGGAGGGCGUGGGCUGCAGUGCUGAUAAGGACAGAAAGAGAAAGGCCCGGAAAGUCGAAACUCGAAAGCGCGACUGCCGGCCAUUGGAAGAGCUUCUGUUCUUCUUCGUCGUCGUCGUCUCAUUUUCUUACCCACCCCAAAAUUUUCUCCCCUCAAUCGCCCCUCCGGGGAGGUGAAUGGCGGUGGUUCGAGCGGACCCAUUUCUCGGACGAGCUUCGGAAUAGGGGGGGCGGCCGGAUCGACCCCCUCCCCCCUCCCUCUGCUCUCCACAUCCGCGAGUCAAGAAGAGCCGUGUUCCCGUGUUCCGACGAGCGGGAGAGAAAGUGGCGAUGUGGGUCUCCGCAAAACCAAGGCAGCCGUCAGUCUUCUUCCGGAUCAAGACAAGCCGUCGGAUCCUUUAAUCCCUGGGACUGCCGGCGGCCGCGGCGCGCUGGUUUCUGCCGAGGAGAGAGAGGGAGAGAGAGAGAGCCGAUUUGCGAGCUCUGAGCCUGCCGGGCUGUGCUUCUCCGUCGUCUACGUUCUCCUGCUGGGAGAGCUGUGGGGCUUGUGGAUCUCCUUCUCCGUCGACUGGUCCCGCCUGCGGUGGUGACUGGGUUGUUGAUGUGUGGACCUGGUGGUUGCCUCGCGGGAAAGUCGGAUUUGAUGCUUUAGACUCUCUGGAUGAUGGGGAAGCGCGGCGAGGGUGGAAAUCUUGAGACCUCGCCUUUCUCCGGUGGCCCGAGAGGAUCCAGUGGGUGGGAUUUUGGUGGAAGCUGAGGGACGAGCUGGGUCUCCUCCGCCCCGCUCCUUCUCUAAGAAUGGUGGAGGUCCGGUUCUCGACGUGAAGCGAGGUGCCGUGUUGCGGGGCUCGGAAGCAUCUGUUCGCUGAAUUCGACGUCAAUCUGACCUACUGCUCGUCUCUCGUGUAGGGGUUCCCUGCUCGUCUCAGGCCGCCGCCAUUAAUGGGGCUCUGGAGUUCUCUGACCCGCGGAGGUGCGCCGACGUUCUGGAUUUCAGAGGCUGCGGAUUCUCCUCCGGCCGUUUCUCUCUGCUCAGAGUUUCUUGCCUCGGCGGGAGAGGAGGCGUCCGCCUGAUAUCUGGGUAGCUCAACUUGAUGUGAUCCUGGUGAUUUCUUUUCUUCUGCAAAUCACGAAGAACUCAGCUAGAUAACAGUCUCGAUCGCACUUUCCGUAACGCCGGGCGAUCGAUCUGCGUUACCAUCUCUCUCCCUUUAUAUGUGAUCCCGACCAGCCGGUGACGGUGAAUAUGCCGAAGGGUUCGAGAUUCGGGGGAGCUCGUGGCAUCUCCGAGGUCUGCUGUGCAGUCGCCGUUGCCGUGGUCCUCUCCAUGGCCUGUCAAUGCAGAGCUCUGAACUCGGAAGGAAAGCUCCUGUUGGAGGUGAAGAGCAAGCUCGGGGACGACCUCGGCCGCCUUGCGAACUGGAACCCUAACGACAAGACUCCGUGCGCGUGGACUGGGGUGGUCUGCUCAGAAAUCAGCAACCGGAGCCAAGUCGUCGUUAAAGAGCUUCGUCUGGGAUCCAAGAAUCUCUCGGGAACUCUCUCUCCGAGAAUAUGCGGGUUGACCCACCUGUCCUUGCUCGAUCUGUCCUUCAAUUCUCUCUCUGGCGGCAUCCCGAAGGAGAUCGGGACCUGCUCGAGCCUGGUCUUCCUCUACCUCAACGACAACAAUCUUCAGGGAGGGAUCCCGCCGGAGCUGGGGAGGCUGUCCUUGUUGCAGGAGCUCAAUCUCUGCGAGAACCGGAUAUCGGGUGUUCUUCCAGAGGAGAUCGGGAACCUCCACUCCCUGGUGGAGCUGGUCGCCUACACCAACAACAUCACCGGCUCGCUGCCGCCGUCCAUCGGGAGGCUCAAGAACCUGGCCGUCUUCCGUGCGGGGCAGAACCUGAUCUCCGGCGUCAUCCCCCCGGAGAUCGGCGGGUGCCGGAGCCUGAAGGUUCUCGGCCUGGCAGAGAACCAGCUGCAGGGAGAGAUCCCCGUCGAGCUCGCGAGGCUCGGAAAUCUGACGGAGCUGGUCCUCAGGAAUAACAAGCUCUCCGGGAGGAUCCCCAAGGAGCUCGGGAACUGCGUCAAGCUCCAGACCAUCGCUCUGUAUCAGAACAACCUGGUGGGGGAGAUUCCUGUGGAGAUUCUGCGGCUCGGAUCUCUGCAAAAGCUGUACCUUUACCGGAAUGGGCUGAAUGGGUCGAUCCCGAAGGAGAUCGGCAACCUCUCCUCGGCCACGGAGAUCGAUUUCUCGGAGAAUUUCUUGACCGGGGGGAUCCCCGCCGAGCUGGGCAGGAUCAAGGGCCUGCAGCUGCUGUACCUGUUCCAGAACGCGUUGACGGGGGGCAUCCCCCCCGAGCUGUUCAGUCUGAAGAACUUGACCAAGCUGGAUCUGUCCAUCAAUGGCCUCUCUGGCCCGAUCCCCCUCGAAUUGCAGUAUAUGCCCCAGCUGGCCCAGCUGCAGCUCUUCAGCAACAACUUGACCGGUGAUAUUCCCCAGGAGCUCGGGAUGCACAGUCCGCUCUGGGUGGUUGACUUCUCGGAGAACAAUCUAGAGGGCCAGAUUCCCAGGAACCUCUGCCGGCGCUCCGGCCUCAGCCUGCUGAACCUGGGUUCGAACAGGAUCACCGGGAAUAUCCCCAGCAGCAUCACCAACUGCGUCUCUCUGGUUCAGCUCCGCCUGGGCAACAACAGCCUCACGGGGAGCUUCCCCUCCGACCUGUGCAAGCUGGUCAACCUGACGACCAUCGAGCUGGACCAGAACAAGUUCAGCGGCGCCCUUCCGCCGGAGAUCGGCAACUGCACGGCACUGCAGAGGCUCGAUCUGCACAGCAACUUCUUCGCCUCCGAGCUGCCCAGGGAGAUCGGCCGCCUCUUCCAGCUGGUGAUCUUCAACAUCUCCUCCAACGAGUUCCUCGGCGGAGUUCCCCCGGAUUUAGUCAACUGCAAGAGGCUCCAGCGGGUGGACAUCAGCCAGAACCGCUUCACCGGCGGCCUGCCGGAGGGGCUGGGCGGCCUCACGCAGCUGGAGCUGCUCAACGUCGCCGAUAACCAGCUAUCUGGGGCGAUCCCCGUCAUUCUUGGAAUCCCUCGGCUGAUGGAGCUGCAGAUGGGGGGCAACAGAUUCAGCGGGGAGAUACCCAGAGAACUCGGCGGGAUCUUCAGCUUGCAGAUCGCGCUGAAUCUCAGCUACAACAACCUCUCCGGGCCGAUCCCUCCCCAGCUCGGGAGCCUCAGGAUGCUGGAAUGCCUGCUGCUCAACAACAACCAUCUCUCCGGCGAGAUCCCCUCUACAUUUGCGAACCUCCUCAGUCUGCGCGAGCUGAACCUCUCUUACAACGAUCUGUCGGGGCCGCUCCCGCCGAUAUCUCUGUUCGAGAACAUGAGCGCGAGCAGCUUCGCGGGGAACAGGGGCCUGUGCGGCGGCGCCGCCCUCGGCCCCUGCGGCGGCAACUCCGCCGCGCCCACUCCGGUGUCUUUGGAGGGGUUCAGGACGCGGACGGGGAGGAUCGUGGCGCUGGUUUCUGCCGCCGUAGGCGGGGUCUCCCUGGUUCUCAUCGUCGUCAUCAUCUACUUCAUGAGGCGGCCGGUGGAGACGGUGGCCCCCGUGCAGAAGCAGCCGCCACUGUCCUCGUCCUCGUCCUCCUCCGGCCUGCAAGUCUCCCCGGACAAGGGCUUCACCUUCCAGGACGUGAUCAAGGCCACGAACAACUUCGACGAGGGCUUCGUGAUCGGGAAGGGAGCCUGCGGGACGGUUUACAGGGCGAUGAUGAGCUCCGGGCAGACCGUGGCCGUGAAGAGGCUGUCUUCGCACAGAGAAGGGAACACCAUGGACAACAGCUUCAGGGCGGAGAUCUUGACCUUGGGGAAGAUCAGGCACAGGAACAUAGUCAAGCUCUACGGCUUCUGCUACCACCGGGGGGCCAACCUGCUCCUCUACGAGUACAUGUCCAGGGGGAGCCUGGGGGAGCUGCUCCAUGGCGACGAGGAGCAGCAGCAGCAGAGCGCCGCCACCGCCCUCGACUGGGGGACCCGCUUCACCAUCGCCCUCGGGGCUGCAGAGGGGCUCUCCUACCUGCACCAUGACUGCAAGCCCCACAUCAUCCAUCGAGACAUUAAAUCCAACAACAUCCUGCUCGACGAUAAUUUUGAGGCCCACGUCGGGGACUUCGGCCUGGCCAAGGUCAUCGACAUGCCCCACUCCAAGUCCAUGUCGGCCGUCGCCGGCUCCUACGGUUACAUUGCACCUGGUGAGCCUCUCUCUCUCUCUCUCUCUCUCUCUUACAGAAACAUCGCCAUUACUACUCCAUAUGGGUAGGACCCCGUAAACCAAAAAAACCUGCCUUUUUUUUUGCUCUCCCUUCUCUCGACCCCAAAGAUCUUGCCACUGGAGAAGCUGAAGAUCUCGGCCAAUAACCCUAAACAGAGAGUCGUCGUCUCUAUUUAUGUUCUCACGACAUUCUGAAGUCAACGUUGCUCUACUUCCUCUUCCUUCCAUCUCCAUGACAGAGUACGCGUACACCAUGAAGGUCAACGAGAAGUGCGACAUUUACAGCUACGGAGUUGUCCUCCUGGAGUUGCUGACCGGCAAGAGACCCGUGCAACCCUUGGAGCAAGGCGGCGACCUGGUGACGUGGACGAGGAACUACAUUAAGUCAAACUCGUUGGAUUCCACGAUACUCGAUCGCCGAUUAGACGUCGGAGACGGGGCGACUGUCGAUCACAUGAUCUCGGUCAUGAAAAUUGCCUUGUUAUGUACCAGUAAGUCCCCAUUUGACCGGCCACCGAUGCGGCAAGUGGUGUCGAUGCUGAUCGAGUCAAAGGAGGGAGAAGGGCGCCCUGCGGGCUCCCCGCCUUCUUCUCUGAAUCACUUCCCGACGGAGGACUCCAUGUAAAGGCAUCGGCGCAUUUUGUGCCGGCGGCAGCCCCGUUGACUCCCUGUAGCAGGUGAUGGAGCUUCACUUGAUCAGCUCCAUUAAAAUUAACGACUCCAUUUUUUUCUAUUUUAUUACUUACAUGUUUGGGCUGUCAGGGGCUAGAGAGAGAGAGAGAACAGCCAAAACAUGGUCGACUCAAAUCAAUGUCAAAAAGUCAACAGAAUUGGCCAUAUAUAGGAUGAGUCAAAAUAAGGUCAUGCAUUCAGCCCCACAAUUUUCUUCCUCACUGAGCCUGAUACGCUCGCGGUCAGAACUCCAGUCCCAACAAGAUUCAAGUCAAAGAAGACAAAAUCCUCCUUAGUCAUGGUUUUGACUCAGAUCAAGGUCUACAUGAUUCGUAGCCAUUAGAAAUUAGUCAAAAAAAUUGACCACAAAUGUAACGAGUUCAACUGAGGGCAAUAACACUCGUCACGGAUAGAGCCCCGCACCUUGACCUCAAGCUGUUGACUUUAGUCCCCACUGAGCUUACAAUUAUUUGCUAGAGAGAGAGAGAGAGAGAGAGAGAGAGAGAGAGNNNNNNNNNNNNNNNNNNNNGAGAGAGAGAGAGAGAGAGAGAGAGAGUACAAUUAUGGAAAAUGAGCAGAGGUCUGGCAUUGGUUAGAGGUUAGCCCGCACAUCACACAUCCUUGGAGUUGACUCCGCUAUUUCCUACUGCAACUUCUUUUGACUCCACAAAAUCCUAUCCAAUUUCGCAGGCGAAACAAGUCAACCUGCAAGCUGGAACCUUGGACGACCACCAUGCUCCUGGCUCUUGACCUCGGGCAUUACCAAAUCAGGGCUUCUCAGCCACGCCGACAUCUCUGCCUCCAGCUCCUUGCUCAGAAUUCUGCAGAAGAAAGAGGAGAAUGAGUCAUCUUUCAUCCCGUGAUCUUCUCCCCAGGUGUGGAUAAGACCAUGGAAAUGGGGACAGAUAAGCGAACAGAAACCCCACCCCCCUCGGUCCAGGGGGCUGACAAAACCCGGAAAGUCAACGCCCCAAUCAUCUUGAUCCCGUGAUCUUCUUCCCAAGUGUGGAUAAACAAACAUGGAAAUGGCGAUAGAUAAACAAGCACAUGCACCGCCCCCUUCCCCCUCACCUGAGGAUGCCCUUCCAAAUGGGGAAGCCCGGCGUGCUGCUGACGAGGAGGAUCAACACGGUUAGCCAAAUUGGGGGCAGCCGGGUGAGGCAGAGCCGGGUCGGUCUUGCCAGCCUGGGGAGCCACAUGGCCAAAGAAGGCCUGAAAUGGCUGCAUGGGCGGCGGCCCCUGGCUCAGAGGGGCCGCGCUGGCUCGGGCCAUGUGAGAGCCCGACAGGACCGGGAGAAAUGGCGGCAUGGGGCCGGCCAGAGUCCCCAUCCCCAAGCCCAUGUUCAUGCCCAUCGGCACCGCCAUUCCCAUCGGCGGCGGCACAAACUGAUGGACCCUGGGGAACAUCAUCGGGAACAUGUUGCAGCCCAUGGACAUCAUCUGAAACCAAGAUCCAAGAGAUGAGCUACUUUCGCAAGAAAGAAGAAGAAGAAGAAGAAGAAGGAAAAAGGUGACAUUUUUGGUCAACAACUUGGUCUGAAAGGAGCAUGAUCAUCGAUGGUGAUGAUCCUGAUUUCAGGGCAGAUGUGGGCUAGACUUUGCUCAUUGCACACACCUGAAUUUGCAUCUGGAGAGACUUCAAGUACCGGAUUGCAUCGUCCAACAUCGAUGCCUUGUCUGACUGAAAAUUUUUGGGAGAAAAUGGGCCCGGAUAUUCAAAAAAAAAAUCACAAGGAAGGGGGAGAACGAGGGUAAGGACGCGGUUGGAGACGGAGGGUUGACCUUGUUGCACCGGGGAAUGAGCUCCUGCAAGGCCUUCAUCUUCUCAUUGAUCCUGUCCCUCCGCCUCUGCAAGGAGAGAAGAACCCGCCAUUAGGGCACUCUCAGCCUGGCCAGGUCGAGGUUCAGAGAGAGGAAGAGAAGGAGCUGAGCAGCCACUGACCCUCUCCGAGAGGUUGUGGACCUCUGCAGCACGCGGCCUCCGCUUCGGCGCUGAUCUCCUGGUGUCAUCCUGCUUGUCGAUCGACUGAGAAAGAGAAGAAAGAGCCGUGAGAUAGAACAGCAGGCAUCCAAGAAAGAAUAUGCUACAGGCAGAUGGUAUUAGUUGGACAAUAAUUCGGAUUGUUACCAAAAAUUAUAUAUUUUACUGAGAAAUGCAGAUUUAAUUCUUCCGCGCCGCUGCAGAGGGAUCCCUUCCGGUGUGCUCUAAUUAAAAAUUAGUAAUCUGUUCUAUUCUACACUACCUCGCAUGCUUAUUCAUAUAGAGAUAUUUAUACUAACUCUGAUAGGGUAUGGUAUGCGGCAGCUAAUCAGAUCCAGACGAGAUAUUGCAAAAUCACAAAACCCAAAUAAUCCAAAAGGGUUCUUGAUGACGAUCCAAGUUAAAAGAAUUUGCAAGUUGUUCUGCUUCGUUCACUAGCUGAUCUAUUUGGUGGCUCUAACCGCAACUAAACAUGGUCAAUAUAAGAUUUUGUUUGCCCCGAUGGGUUUAUACCCACAGAAAUUUUUGGUCCAGUGGGUUUCCUCACAGUUCCAUCUUUUCCUAAGAUUUCAGAGCCUACUCUUCUGUUCUUGCAAUUUAUAAACCCAUGUGUAUGAGAGAGAGAGAGGGAGGGAGGGAGAGAGAGAGCUGACCUCACUGAGGGAAUCUGAGUCGUCAGCCUCUGCCGCCUUCCGCUUCCGGGCUUCCGGGCGCGGCGCAGCCUGAUCGGCUGCUUCCGCCUCACAGAUCACUGCCGAUGAUGACGUCAGCCCCUGCUCGCAAAUAGCCGUUUCUCCGGUUUCCCCCUUUUCACGGCCGGAGGAAGCCCUAGGCUCCGGCGGGCCACCCAUCGUCGGGUCCGAAGUCGCGCUCGAGUCCACGAUGGCCGAUUCCCCCGAUCCAAGUGAUCGCAAGAGCUUCUCCUGCACCUCCGGUGGCUUCCCCGACGCCCCCCAGCCAUCUCCGUCCGUCCAAGGGACCACAGCCGCGGUCGUCUGGGGCUUCUCAGGGAGGUCAACACGAUCGGCAUACCCGACGGUGCCGCGUUCUUCGCCGUCCCCUAGUUGAUAGUCCAGCCAAGAAGCCAUCUCGUCCUCCUCCAGAAACGGCUCGGCCGCCGCCGCCCCUGCCGACACUGAAGAAGCCGAAAUCCCGCUGCGGUUGCGGAGUUCCUCCUGCGACGUCCGCCGGUAAACUGGCCCGUUGUCCCAUAGCAGCUCCACGAAGUCCUCCCCCGACCUGAAUCACCAGACGAAUCCAGCCCAAACGAUCGAAUCAGUCACACCAGAAUAAUCGCAGAAAGAGAUAGAUGGACAGAUUAUCCGGGCAGAUGCAGUCACUGACAAGUCGGCGAGGUUUCGGACACAGGAUGAGGGGAAGACGGUAUCGUCCUCCAGGAAGAACUCGGGAACACAGCAAUUCAUGAUCUCUCUUCCACCAGGAGCGAAUCGAGCAACAGAUUCAGAGCGAGCGAGUCACAGAGAGAUAGAGAGGGGCAGCGGCGGGGGGGAGAGGAUGGGUCUGACUCCGAAUUUAUUGCGGCCGUUCGCAGAUCUCUCUCUCUCUCUUUCUCUCCCUUCUGGAUAAUGGCUCUGCAAAAAAGGAGGGAGGAGGAAGAAGACGCCGGUGGAGGUGAAGAAGAGAGGGCAGGUGGGCCCCAGAGGAUCGAUGACGUGUACAUCAUCUGUGGCGGCGCCCCCCUGCCGAAUCAGUUUCUUCCUCCCCUUCCUUCCCCUGGGCAUCCUCUCUGUCGCACUUUUACACGGAGCCCCCUCAUAAAUCACGCACACUCAUAAUGAGGCAUCUGACGCAGGGCCCAUUUUUAAUUAUCCAUUUUGAGAUUAGCCCCUAGAGUAAGCGCCCAUGUCGUGGAUAGCCUCGCUAGUGGUACUGACGAUGACGGCCGAAAUAGUUUUAUAUUUUUAUAUAUGUCCACUGGCCUAUUUGCCACCGGGUCAAACACAAACGGCUCGGAGCCCAGGCCCAGUUAGAUCCCUUUCAGACCUCCACUGCUCCACUUGAUGUCGACAAGAUCCCUAACUGCGAAAAAGAGCCAAUAAUGGGUAUCAUUUUUAGUUCCCAUAUUUCGCAGGGUGUUAUUCGCAAAGAAGCCACAACCCCCGUGGAAUGCAUUCUGGGAAUGCGAACUGAAGCCGCGACGCGGGGGCUGUGCGAGGAUCUCCCAGAAUGAAUUACAGAACCAGUAGGAAGCGUACCAUGAACGGGGGAAAUACAGCAAAAAAAAUUCUCCUGCUGGGCCAUCUCUCGACGCCGGGAAUCACAAGUCAAUGACCCGGGUAUCUGGACGUUGACUCCCGGAGGCGAUGAGGUUGACUUCGGUCAGAACACUCCCAGGAGCGUGGCUGCGGCGAAGACGAGGAAGAGGACUCCUCCCAGGUAGCCGACCUGGCAGUGGAGAUCGAUUGAGAAGGGGAAAAAAAAUCUGGGGGAGGUGGUAGAAACAGGCAGGAGGGGUCCUCACCAGCUUUUCAGAGAUGUACUUCGCCAGAAACGCUCCUCCCAAGACCGCGAAGGAGGUCGCCACCAGAUGCCCUGCAAUGGCGCCGGUGGCCACUCCCCAAGGAGACUGCAAUGGGAAGCCCAAUCACCGCACGGUCCGCACCAGUAGAGAGAGAGAGAGAGAGAGAGAGAGAGAGGUGGGCAAGGAUGGGCACCUGGGCAGCGCCGAGGGCGAUUGUGGCCAGCAUCGAGCGAUCCCCCCAUUCCUGGGAAAGGCGAUCUUCGUCAGAUCUUUAGACAAGAUGCGGCAAGAAGGAAAUUAUUUCCAGUGAUUAUGCAUCUUAGUAAAUAAGGAAGCUCACUGCGAAAAAUACGAGGCUGAAAGAUUUUGAAAUGAUCUCAAAUGGGCUCGUGAGCUUCUUCGCGACCUGAGUGCAGUAAUGGAAUUAGUACCAAAAAUAGAAAUAUUCCACUGUUAGAACCCGGAGAGAAUGUCGCUGACCUUUUCCUUCACAAUCUCCUCGGCUUCGACGAGCUCUCCGAGCUCUGGGCCCUCGUUUUGCUUGUCAACAACAGCUGGCGGGAGGUCCCAUGCGUUUUUUAUCGAACUCAACCCAAAGUAUAUGAGAAGCACGACUGCCGCAUAUUCUCCAAUAGGCAACGCUGUAAUCGACGAUCCGCCGUCAAUAUGCUGUGCCAAUUAAGAGGUACUUUAUAGAAGAAUAUGAGGGGAUAUCAUCCGAAUUUAUGAAUUAAUAUGUGCAAACAUGGAAUUAAUCGUCAGAACCAACAAAUAAACGAUUCGGGGGGGAAAUUACUAAUUUUUUUUCGGAUUCCGGAUUCCCUUCAAUCGAAAUCCAAUCACGGGGCUGCUCCAUGGUCAUCCACAAUAAAUUUUUAUGCAGAAAGCUUCAUGAAAGAAAUUAAAAUUUAUCGAUGAUGAUUCUAAAACGCUAAUACUGGAAACAUAAUAUCCAGGGUGGGAUCAAAGCCCAAUCCGAUCUGGGCAUCAAUCAAGCACAAAAUCAGACCAGCCAGAUCAGGCAAUCCGAGGUCUGGGCGAGUUAUAUGGGUCAGAUGAACUGGGUUCAAUCAUUGCGGCUUCAGCUACAUAUUUGCACACACACACAUAAAAACAGGGGAGAAAACGAUACAAAAGGCUAUAAAUAUUUCCACAGAGGAUGCAAAUAAAUUACAUGAAACAAGAAUUAAUUCAAAAGCUAAACAACAAUUUAUUUCCUAAUAAAAGAAGACAACAGAAGAGCAGAAGACCAGAUACUCCGUUAUCCUAGAAAGCAGGAAUGGGCGAGAUUAUAAGACUUACUUGUCUGAAACUGGGCUGGAACAGAUUGAAAAAUCCGCCCUAUGAUGACAGAUAGGAUAGUCAUGAGUGCAAGAGCACCCAUUGAACCCAAUAAGACCUGAACAGGUUAAAAAGGGUAAAAACUAGUUGAGCAUAUGAGUUGAAACGAAUAAGAAAUGAGGAACAUUGACCAUAAUUUAAAGAUCAUACCAAUGCUUUCUCAUAUUGCAUAGCGAGCAAUGCGGCGAUGAAAAAUGUCUGCAAAUACACCAAAAAUAGACUAACUUUAUCACCAGUGCUUUCACUAACCUCUGAUAUUGAAACAUGGGAUAUAUAAAAUAGGUGAGACUACUAAUUAAAUUGGGCUCCAAAAAACUGCAUCUUGCUUGGAAACUAUAAAAGUAAAUUUUGUCAUCAUCCAAAAAAAAAAAAGGUUCUGGGAUGCACUGAUAUGAAGAUCAACAUAAAAUAUCAAAAGGUCAAACUGGUCAAACAUGACAUCCUCUAAAGAAAGAUUCAUAUAUAUAUAUAUAUAUAUAUAUAUAUAUAUAUAUAUAUAUAUAUGUCAUCCAUAACCAAACAUUUACGAGUUGGUUGGGCCAUCUAUAACACUAUGUUCUUCCAGGGAAGGGUCAGGAACAUAUCUUAUCACCAGGGUUACAGCAUUGGUCUAUGCUUUGGGAUGUGAGAAGUUGAACUUUAGUCAUCCAUGUAUGGAAUUUUUUCUCUCCCAAAUAUAGUUAGGCCUCAGCAAUGCAAUGUAAAUUAAUGAAAAUAUUACUUGUUUUGUUUCAGCAAGGUCGGAGAAGUGGUCAAGAAAUCUAAGUGACAGGAAAAAAUAAAUACUACAGUGCAUGCACAGAUCGAUAAAGUUAUGAAACCAUUACAAUUAAAUGAUACACGAUACAGCAGGAAAUCUUGACUCUGGUCAAAUUGCCACAAGCUGAUGUAAAGAAAAAUUAUUCAUGCCAAAUUUAACAAAAACAUGACAAAAAUUGCAAAGAGAAAUACCAAGGGAAAGAUCUAAAAAAAAAAGAGAACGAAUUUAUUUUCAUGGUAAACAAAAAUGAAUAUUGAUUUUAUGAUGUUUACGUGGGUCUCUAGAUAAUUAACUGGGUUCCUUAGGAGACAACCAAAUGUCCAGUUAUGCUACUGAAAAACAAAUGGUAGGACGUAAAAAGGGGUAAAGAAUAGAACACGGUAAGAACCUGAGGUCAGGAACAAUAAAUAUAUCUUAAAGGAAAUCAGUAAGAGCCAAACAAAAGAGACCGUCCUAUGAAUUAGCUACAUCAACUUCGCGCAGACAUUGCGCUACUUAAAAUAGGAUAACAAAAUGAGGGGAAGAUCCUAACAUUAAAUUUAAAAAGACUUCACUGAGCAAGAUUUAAACAUAAACUAUUAAGACAGAAAUACAUGAAAAUGAAAAGUUAUCGAUAUUAUAAGACCUAACUGGAUAGGAACAAGGAAUAGAUGUUUUUUUCCUGCUUAUUUAUCCAGUCAGGGGCCAGCUACUGCCGCCUAUACAUUUGGGUGCCCUGAUGAAAAAAAAAAAACGAAGACUGCUUUGAGGACAAAUAAGACGUUGACAUGAGACAUGGGAAGGGAAGCAAGCUCAGAAACUGCAUUCAAAGUGUAAGGUAGUUCUAAUCAGGUCCAAAAUCAAUUGUCUGAUGCUUUGCAACGAUGAAAAAGAGCUUAAUGUUUAAAUGGACGUGUUUUAAUAAACAGUAUUGAAAGUAAUGAAAAAUAAGUAACUUAAAAUCUAGCAACCAAAAUAUUAUCCUUGUCACAUGAAUAAACAAAAAAAAUCGACAUCUUUUCACCUUGUCACCGAUUUCUGAUACGAAUAUUAAAGUGAAUGCUGCGGUGAAACCAGACUUUGCAACCGCUGCUAUAAUUGUUGAAGGAUUUCCCUUUGAGAGAACAAUAAGCGAAAAUGCAAGUGUACAUCCAAGUAGCACAGCAACCACAGAUACCGGAUAAAUAAUUCUUGAAAGAGGAUUUUCGCUGCAAUAAAAGGAGAAAAUGAGCUACGCUUGAAAAUGUCGAAGUUGAACAAGUUCAUAUAAUUUAUAUAAGACGUACAUAUGUAGAUGCGCAAGUCUAAAUCAUCAGCACGACAUAGGUGUGGAUACUAAAUCCUAGAAGACAUGAAGUACAGAUCCCAUUACAUCCACAGUUGAGGAUAGCCCUUCUAAUCUAAUUUUCUGUUCUUUGUGAUUCAAGAAACGUUUUGACGACAUGAGCAGAAAUCAAGGCUAUGAGGCAUGAAGGAGAAAUUCAAGUGCGGCUUCUUCCAAAUCACAUAAUACAGCGUAAGAAUGAUAAUAACAUCCAUAAAGAAAGUCCUGGCAUCUGGAACUCACCUGUCAGAAGGCGUCCCACCCGUAGAGCCAGUUUGCUGUAUCUUGUUCUCAUCGCCUCCCUUACUUUCUUCAAAACCACCAGCUCCAAUAUUUAUAUUGGAAGCUUGAGCCACAAUUUUAUCACGUAAUGGGUUCACCCUUGAUAUGCAUCUAUAUCUCGCUACAUAGAAAGAAAUAUUCAGUCAUAAUUGAAGGACAGGAUUUUAAAAGAGAAUACAAUAAGAUUGACGAAGAUGACAGAGAACGUGAUAAGCUUUAAGAAAAUAUAAAAAAUAGAAAAACGGUUGUUGAAAAAACAGAUGUAUCCUUAGCAAGUUCUUUGUUAAAAUGGCAAGACUGGACGAAUACAAUUAUGCGUUCAAAGUGAACUUCUUUACUGAAAAUAAUCAAAAUUUGAAAAUUCUGCAUAAUUUCACUUCAAAUCAAAUUAUAAUUCUAAAGACAUCAAGCAGUCUCUAGUUGGUGAAACGGUUUAAAUACCGAUAUAGUUAAUUGGAGUUAUUGUUUAUCACGCAAACGGAAAUAACCCAGAAGAAAAAUAUCUUAUUCCUCGUUAAACACGUAAUCUGAACAAGAUAAUGACAGCAGAGCUCUCGGUUUUCAUCAUUUGAUGCCAGUGCCUUGAGUCGCGUAACUUCUAGAAACUCCACAUUAAUCACUCAAAAACACAUUGUUUAGCUGCACAAAUUACCAUUAAGAGCGUAUUAAAUAUAUAAAUUUAUGAAAAAAUCGGAUUAAGGUGCUAAUUCGGCUUAGUGGCAUGAUGACCUUGUUUGUAUAUAAUAAGAUAAAUAUUCUAGUUAGUAGUUCGUGCUCGUGAUGAAAUUUUUAUUUAUAUCGCCAGUCCUUGGGCCAAAUAUUCAAAUCAGAUUAUACAAAGUAAUUAGCACUCCCUCACAUAUCUUGGAUGCUAGAUAUUUCAUGGGGUGGUGAUGGCAGUUAAGGUUCUCUAAAUUUUCUCCUUCUACCACCGCCUUAUGAGGUAAUUGCCACUCAAUAACGCUUUAAUGUAAUGUAGAAGAAAUUCGUGGUUAAUGCUGCUGUUCCUCAAAUAACACAGUGAUAUUUUCUCCCCACAGAUUUCCACUUUCCGCAUCUGUCGUCCGUUUUUCCUUGAAAAUGGUCAACCCACAAGAAGUGUGAUGACACACAUUUUUCGUGCAAUUAUCCCCGCAAUAAGGAACUAGUGAAAUAUUGAAUGGGGGCAGUUCCAUUUAUUCUAAAUCCUGAGAAACUAACCCAGUUCAACGCCUUUUUUGAUGCUUCACAUUUUUUUAUGGGAUGCAAUAUCAUCCGUUUGUUAGAUCGAUAAAUCACUGGCAAUUACAUAACAUACCUAAUGAGGAGAUACACGUUCCAUCAGUUAUUUCCCCUCACAUCCCAUGAACUUGAGACAAACAGAUGGAAAGAGCUCAGCACAAGCCCAGGACAGGACAAGGGAGCUAGUAGGUAAGCGUAUACUGCCCACAGGUUUUCAAAGCCCUUGGGCAUACCUCCUCUUCAUACCUGUGGGAAAAUACCAUUUCCUUUUACAUGGCUCCCUUAAGAAAAAUUUCCAAGUCUGAUGCCUGAAACAUCCUUUUUACGCAGCCCAUUUCUGUUUUCAGAGAACUGCCCUUUUAUAUGACCCAUUAUCUUUCAAGAAACGGAACCAUUUCUGUUCCACAGACCAUCUGUCCAAUCCUUCUGUGCUAAUAACUCUCUACCACCACUCGUUUCGGUGAGUACUGCAUUCUCCCCCUCUUCCCCAUCCCAACUCCACCCUGGAUUCGUUUCUUUCUCUGGCCCCAUCUAUUCACAUCCAGACCAUGGAAAAAUCCGAUUCAUCCAAUUGUGAAACAUCUUCUAUUCUUCUUCUACAGAAAAUGUGAUUUCUUAGAGAAUAAACAUGAAAAUUACCAUAAAAGAAAAUGUAUCACCUAAAUGGAGAGACUAAAACAGCGAGCACCAAAAUACUGAAAAAAGUGAGCAUUCCCUCAAACCCGAGAUGCCCAUUUUUGCAAUAUUGAUCUAGCAGGCACAGCAUCUCCUGUGCUACGUCGCUAGAGCCCUACAAUGCGAUUUUUCUCGAUGCGUCGUCUACAUUGCCUUGUCGAACACAUCCGCAGUCUGUUCUCCAAAUUACUCUACUUAUAAAACAUUACUGGCCCGAACAUGUAGAAUUAACACCAGUCGUCCCACGCUGCCGUCGCUCCCGAUCCUCGCCGCAGAAAGGGGUCGGUAAUUUUCCCCUUCAUCGGGCUGAGCCCGUGAGCUUCUAGGAGAUCGAGUGUAGGGACAACAGAGAUCUACAAAUCGGAAGAGCCAAUUGGCCGACUGAGAUGGAUCAGAAAGGCACUUACCGUUUAAGCCCGGGGUCCUCACCGGUAAACUUCGAGAGCACGGGGAGGGGAGGGGUCGAAGACACCAACGAAGGGAGUCCUCCAUCUGGAAACUAGCCGCGACUGGAGACAGCACCCCUGCAUCAUAGCCCCGUCGUCCCGGCCUUGGAGAAACACCGCACACUUUCAGAAGUUCCCCCGCAUGAGCCCCCCAGAAACCCUAGAAUCCCUUCCUGAUCUUCUUCCGCCGGGAAGAGCGAGGGUGCCGAUGCCGGGGGAGGCAGAGUGAAGCUGCCACUCCGGAGUUCUUCCGCCGCCUGGCUCCUCCGGCAGUCUAUCUUCUCGUCAUCUGCCACGCGUCAGACCAGGAUGAAAAGCGCAAGCCGGUCCGUUUGGACGCGCACCGGCUACGAGCGUUCCCGCAAAUUUUUUUUUUCACUCUGUCUGUGCUAGUCUACCAUGCACAGUCCCCGUGAAAAUUGAAACGUAUCAUAAAAAUAUGUAUCAGUUUUAUUUAAUAAAUCGAGGGAUAAUGAUAACUUCGCGAAAAUGGAAGAUACAUAGCAGAGGACGACAAUACACGCCAGUGAGUAUACUCCUCUCCUCCCCGCGUCAACCGUAUCUGCUGGUGUGCACGCUCUCCAUGAAAAUUGAAACGUAUAGAUAAAAUAAACUAUGGGCCGGAUCCUUGCCGGAUGCAGUUGGUUCCUCCCAACAGAUCUACUAUGAGUAUCGAAACCAAAAUAAUAAUAAUAAGGUGAGUCAACAGAAUUGGUGGGUUCCAUUAAGUAGACCCUCGCCUUUGAUAGUUCCGACAUACAUAUGAUAUGAGAUUAAACAUCAAUGUCACCAUUCGUCAGUUUUGCCAUUGAGUUAAGUCCCUCCAUUGAGGUGUCAUGGUGCCGUUUCCAUUCGUCCGGGUCACUGGACAUGUUGUUCAUUAUCUCGUUCCAUGUUGCCACAUGUUGAAGUACUCGUGGUUGAGUUGUUACUAGAGUUGGGUUCGGAGUUAAGCCCCAUGUAACAAUCCCCCGCCGUGCAAUCCACCAUCCACAGUGGAGCCUAGCGUAUGUGGUAAUGUUGGAUUAGGGCCUUGAACUACCAGAGGUCAGCCUCCUUUUCCCAAGUCACUUCGGCACUAGGAUUGUCGGCCCACUUAACACGGUAGAUCAUGACCUAGUGAGUGUGGUUGCUGCCACCAUUGUCAAUGACCCAAUGUGUGAGGAUGUUUUUGGCCUGCUCAGUGAAGUGGGUUUGUACGGCCAGUGGUGGCCGUUGCAGGCAAUGUCGAGUUGGGUCAUCAUCAUUUGUGUGAUAUGCCUAGAGGAGAGAGACGUGGAAAACUAGGUGUAUAAUGGCCCAUUCCGGAUCAUGGAGUGUCCGUUGCUGUCCAAGGUGUCUUGCGUGGGGCGUGUCAUGUACUUCCUGAAGGAGUUGUCCUUGAAGUUGCCCACCAAUAGGUGCAUACAGUCACUUGCUGUCUGCAUAAAGUACAUCGUCUUCCACCCAAAACCAACAUGUUUCUCUAGUUUUUACCUAUUGUAGGAGUUGCUUAGUGGAUGGAUAUAUUGAGUAUGCUGACCUAAUGGCGUCUAAGAUCUCCCCUAUACUUGCAGAGGUCGCGGCGAGGCUUUUUGGUGUCUCUUAUCAAUUAAGGGUGUCUACCACCACGUUCGUGUGGCCCAGUUUAUAGUGAAUGGUGAAGUCAAAUUCGGCGAGGAAGUCCUGCCACCUGGCCUACUUUGAAGUGAGCUUCUUCUGAGUGGCAAAGCAACUCGCCACCAUGUUGUUAGUGAAGAUUAUGAAGUGAGAGCCGAGGAGGUAAUGACGCCACAUUUGCAGGCAGUGGACCACGGUAGUCAUCUCCUUCUUGUGUACUGAGUACUGUCGCUCGGUGUCACUGAGCUUCCGACCUUCGAAUGCCACCGGAUGACCAAAUUGCAUCAAUAUGUUGCCUAUAGUGCAGUUUGACACAUCUAUGUGCACCUCAAAGGGGAGAGAGAAGUCAAAGAGUUAGAGGACAUGCUCAGAUGUGAUGUAAAGCUGAACCUAGUCGAAGGUGCACUAGUAUUCUACACUUCAUUCCCACAUCUUGUCUUUUUGAAUUAGGUCUAUAAGUGGGGCUGUGAUCCGAGAGAAGUCUCAGAUGAACUUCUUGUAGUAAUUGGCAAGCUUGAGAAAAGACUGUAGCUCGAUGACGCCUCUUGGUAUUAGCCAUCUGUUAAUCGUGGCCACCUUGGCGUGGUCCAUCUUGAUUUGCUUGUGGCCCACAAUGUGGCCAAGAAAGCCGACCUCUUCAAUGUUGAAGACGCAAUUGGCGGGGUUGAGGUACAAUUGGUGGGCUCAGAGAGUCUCGAAGACCGACCGCAAGUGCUCCACAUGUUCUUCCAUUGACUUGUUGAAAAUCAAAAUGUCAUCCAGGUAUACUACAAUGAAUUUGUCCAAAAAGGUGUGGAAGACAUGGUUCAUGAGGGCAUAAAAAGUGGUAGGUACGUUAGUCAACCCAAACGACAUCACAAUGAACUCGUAAAACCUGUAGUGCGUGACCUGUGCAUGGACCAAAUGUGUCCCAUGCACAGCAACUCCUCGAGUUGCUUCUUCAACUUCCCCAACUAUGCUAGGGCCAUCUUAUAAGGUGCUCAGGCUGGUGGUUUCUCCCUUGAUAAAAGCUCGAUAGAGUGUUCGAUCUCCUGACGUGGAGGUAAGGCCGACGGCAGUUGCUAUGGCAUGAGAAAAUUGAACUCCAAAGAAUUAAGAAUACUUGUGAGUGGGGCGCACCACGAUUCGUGUCUGGUUCCCCUUCCUCUCACACCAUCACUCAGUAUGUGGCGGUCUCCAUGUCGUGUUCCCGUUGGAGCUGAUGGGCUAAGAUCAAUUAUAGAUCUAUUGCCUCCUGUGGUGAUCCAUGUAAGAAACAUGGCUAGUCUCCCCUGCAGAUGAUUAGUCUGUGGCAGUGUAAGAAUAUUUCUAUCUUGGCUCGGACUACAAAGUCCACCCCUAGGAUGGCGUCGAAGUCGUCCAUUUGGAAGAUGAGGAAGUCCAGCUGGUCGCACAACCAUCCGACUCUAGUGGUCAUGCCCUUUGUGAGGCCCAUAGGUGUUGCCACCACUAUAUUCAUCGUCUUCACAUAAUUGGUGGCUAUUGUUAACUUGAAGUUGUGUGUCGCGCCCGAGUUCACAAGCGCACGAACUAGUGCUCCUUUCAAUUCACAGGCUACAAACAAUAGUUGUUAUGGUCCCAUUUGAGGUUCCCUGGUUUGUAGGAUGUUGAACGAUGACAAGGUGUUGUUGUUCGGUACCUCUUCGAUGAGCAGAAGAGUUUGCUCUUAGGUCAAGAUGGAGUUGAGGCAAGCUCAAGUCAUGCAUCUAUCUGCCCAGUCAAGGCAGUCUGCAAUCUAGUGUGGUCCUCCACACACAUGGCAGCCGGUCCACUAGGGCCUCUCGAGUUGAGGUGCCAUCGCCAUUUACAUGGGUCAUGUGCCGUCUCCCCUAUCGUUGCUCAGGCCACCUCUAUUGCGUGUGUUGUCUUUUGUUCUCCCUCUUGGUGCGUUCUCCCCUCUCAACUCUCCUUGAUUUCUAGGGUGGUGGACCAAUUCAUCCGUGAUGGUCAGUGCGGACCGUAGAUCUUGAACGUUCUAGCAUCGCAGCUCCUUUCGGGCCCAUAGUUGUAGGCCUUCUGUGAAGUAGUGCAGCUUGUUCUCCUCGUCCAUCCGUGGUACCUCGAGCACCAAUAUGGAGAACUUCUCUACAUAUUCUCGAAUGGAGCCAUUGUGUUUGAGUUGGCACAUUACUGUUCACGUCACAUGUCUGAAAUUCACCAAGCGAAAUUGAGCUCUGAGCUCUUAUGGCUAGUCCGUCUAACUUUCGACUGAUACUCGUGAGAUAUCUUUUAUUUGAAGGCACCACCAUGUCUUGACAUAUCCCAUUAGAUAAAGACUAGCGAAGAACUACUUCUCUACCUCUAAUGAUGUGCUGACGUUCACAUAACGUUGUAAGUCCCACAAAAAUUCUCUAUCAACAUGACAUCGCGUUCUCCUACAUAGGGUUGAGGUUUUCAGACCUUUGCACGGCUCCAUGUGAUCGUUGCCGUUGACUCGAAUUGUUUCUACAAGUUCUUGAUAUGUGCACUCAUUCUAUCCAGCUGUUCAUGUAUCUUAUUGAGUUUGUUGUUUUGUUCCUCCUGCUAGGCCACGAAGGAUGUGACCAUCUCCCUAGUCUAGGUAUACAACGCCACAAUCUCUUUGUCCAUCUUCUUGCCAAUGGCUUUAUUGUUAGAGGACUAGGUUCACAAUUGCUCUUCUAAUUCUCGGUAGAUUUUGUUGGUCUCUACCUAAAGUUGAGUAGUGAGCAAGUCGACGAUCCUCAUCAGUGACUCUAGCUGCUCCGUCAGUUGGGCGAUCCUCUGUCCCUAAGUGUCACCUACUCUCGUACGUCCUCCUUUGACUUCCAUCUAUCUGGUUAUAGACUAGUAGAGAAAUUGGGCCAAUAUGAAAAAAUACUAACCUUUAAACCUUGCUUUGAUACCAUUAUUACAAAGAGUGUAUGCGGCUCUACCUAAAUCCUUGUUAGAUGCGAUUGGUUCCUCUUAAUGGAUCUACUUUCCGAGUAUCAAAAAUAAAAAAUAGUAAUAAUAAGGUGAGUCCCCGUCUCUCCAUUGAGGUGUCGUGGCGCCAUUCCCAUCCGUCUGUCUGAAUCGCCAGACGUAUUGUCUGUUCUGUCGUUCCGUGUUGCCACGUGUCAGAGCACCCAUGGCUGAACUGUUAUCGGGGUUGGGUUCAGAUUUGGGCCCCGUGUAACAGCUACGCAAAGCCAAAUCGAUCCUACCGUGCACUCCGUGGUCCAUAUCCGUUGGGAAGCGUACGCACCGUGUGGGGUAAAACCGGGGCCCAACGUCUAUGAACUCGACCCGUUGGGAGUGUCCCCCUACUUCGUCUUCACAUCUCCAUUCUCAUCCCACUUCGUCUUCCUCCGUCCUCCCCAGAGCGGCGGCUGUGAAGUCGGCGUGCCGCCACCAGACGAAAGAAGAACACGCAGGCCCUUGGAAGGGAGCCCGACGAUUCCUCGCUUCCACCGGAAGAAGAGCACGUCUCCGGUGACGACCCCCAGAAGGGGCCUGAUGGUCCGUUUGCCCCUGUUGAGCCAGAGGGCCAGUCUGAGCUAUCAGAGCGGUGCACAGCUAUCAGAAGGACCCACCGUCCUCGAGCUCCUGAUGCCGAAUCCCUGAUCAUCUUCAUCGACUGGGUUCCCUUCUUACAGAGGGAUCAGCCGUGUUCCGUAUCUACGGCGGCGAUCUGAACCCGAGGAGACGACCAUUGCUUUGCCGGCGCUAAUAUUUUCCCACGAAAGCGUUGGGGCGAGCUCUGAGGGCUCAGAGAGGCCUCUGGCUCAGCAGGACAAACGGAUGAUCAGGCCCUAUCAGGACGUGGAGGGCCCGCAGCCACUGACUGGAGCUGACCAAGCUGCAAUCCCAUAUGCCCUCCAUGAAUGGUGACAAUGUGGGGAGUCAACUCCCACAUGGCCCGGGGCGCUGGAGAUGGAGGAGGAAGAAUUUCAACUCCCUGUAUUUUCAGGAACUUUCCCCAUGAAUCACUGCAACCCAGGCGGAGUUCUUGGGGCAUGAAUUUUUGAUGUACAAGGGGGGGAUGACUGCUGGCCGGAGAAUUUUGUGGCGGCGGCGGUGGGAUAUGUAUGUACACUGGGGGCUGAGAUCGGUGGGGGAGGAGAGAGGGAGGGAGGCUGAGCAACUACAAAAAUGUUUCCCGGAUGAGGCGGGCGAGCACCCGGGAGGAGAGACGGCUGACGAUCUCGGGGAGCACCCGGGCGGAGAUGCCCGGCAGGACCGGGAGCAGCUCUUGAAUCACCGACGCCACGUUCACGUCCUGCCGAGGUUCAGACAGUAUAAGCGUCAGAGAGCGAGAGAGAGAGAGAGAGAGAGAGAGAGAGAGAGGAGGGGGGGAUAGAGAGAGAUGAAUCAUGUAGAGAAUUAUCUGCCCAUGGGUCGGUGGUAAUCUAGAGAGAGGAUAGAAUCACAUAUGCCUAAGAACCGGAGAUAGCCAUGUCGCCAUUGUAUUAUUGGAAUAGGGCCCAUAGAAUCUAGAGAGAGAGAGAGAGAAGAAAAC